CAACCCUCAGGAGCCCCUUCCGGGGGGCACCUGGUGCUGGGGAUCAGCGGCCUCCGGGCCCCUGUCCCCCAAAUACAGUGGCGGUCGCGCCGCAGCCUCCCCUGCGUAGUAGCACACCUCGCACCGGAGAGCGGCUCGGCCACGCCGUGAAACCCCCAACUUUCACAA
Molecule: unclassified non-coding RNA, 168 nt
Filed under: uncultured Nectriaceae
Lineage: Eukaryota; Fungi; Ascomycota; Sordariomycetes; Hypocreales; Nectriaceae
Description: sequence contains ITS2
Source: RNAcentral